GAGUCACUGGCCCCGUCCGCAUCCUUCUCCAGCGGCCCCGGGGGCCGCCGCGCCUUAACUCGAUCAGGGCUGCAGCGGCUCGCUGGCUUGACCAGUGCAGAAGGGGCGUGGAGGUGAGCGGGGUGGGGUAGGACUCUGAACUUCAAGCACUGGAGUUUGCCGGGAUCGUGAACUUGCAGGGAGAGGCGGUCCUCAUCCAGUGAGGUACUAACAGUCUAAGCAGAAAAAGAAGAACAGAUGGUGGUAAGACCUAGAAUGUUUACCCCAUUAAGAUCUAUAUCUGAAUCCAGAAGGAACACCUCAUUGCCGAGAAGAGCCCUGCAGACAGUUCACACCUCUGUUUCUUUUGCAAGAUAUAGCUACCUCAAAAAAUCCUUUCUUGAUCAAACUCUUAUGGCCUGGAAUCCUUGCGUUUCUGCUGAUGACUGUCAUUUUAGAGUACUUACUAAAGACAAUGGUUGGGGAAAUAGAUAUUUUAAAAAUAAGGGAAAAAGUGGGUAGGGUAAACCCAGGCUUACUUAUGUAAACUCUGAGUGCUGAAGUUAGAAGACAACUUUUAAGAUUAAAAAAAAAAAAAAAAAAA
Molecule: long non-coding RNA, 583 nt
Filed under: Homo sapiens (human)
Lineage: Eukaryota; Metazoa; Chordata; Mammalia; Primates; Hominidae
Description: HSALNT0295357
Source: RNAcentral